This 207-nucleotide ribosomal RNA is filed under the name uncultured bacterium. RNAcentral describes it as "partial 16S ribosomal RNA". It matches the Rfam family "Bacterial small subunit ribosomal RNA", at positions 568 to 774 of the family's 1533-position model. The record is from RNAcentral.
CGUGUAGGCGGUUGGAAAAGUCAGAUGUGAAAUUCUUCGGCUCAACCGAGGAACUGCGUCUGAAACUUUCCGACUGGAGUUCGGGAGGGGCAACUGGAAUUCCUGGUGUAACGGUGAAAUGUGUAGAUAUCAGGAGGAACACCCGUGGCGAAGGCGGGUUGCUGGACCGAAACUGACGCUGAGACGCGAAAGCGUGGGUAGCAAACA